Molecule: ribosomal RNA, 506 nt
Filed under: uncultured bacterium
Lineage: Bacteria
Description: partial 16S ribosomal RNA
Rfam family: Bacterial small subunit ribosomal RNA
Source: RNAcentral
GAUGAACGCUGGCGGCGUGCCUAAUACAUGCAAGUCGAACGGAAAGGCCCCCACCUUUUGGUGGGGGUGCUCGAGUGGCGAACGGGUGAGUAACACGUGGGUGAUCUGCCCUGUACUUCGGGAUAAGCUUGGGAAACUGGGUCUAAUACCGGAUAGGACCAUGGUUUAGUGUCUCAUGGUGGAAAAAUAUUGUUUUGGUGCAGGAUGAGCUCGCGGCCUAUCAGCUUGUUGGUGGGGUAAUGGCCUACCAAGGCGUCGACGGGUAGCCGGCCUGAGAGGGUGGACGGCCACAUUGGGACUGAGAUACGGCCCAGACUCCUACGGGAGGCAGCAGUGGGGAAUAUUGCACAAUGGGCGCAAGCCUGAUGCAGCGACGCCGCGUGGGGGAUGACGGCCUUCGGGUUGUAAACUCCUUUCGUUAGGGACGAAGCCGCACCUUUUUUGGGUGUGGUGACGGUACCUUUGUUAAGAAGCACCGGCUAACUACGUGCCAGCCGCCGCCGUAA